Molecule: ribosomal RNA, 468 nt
Filed under: uncultured bacterium
Lineage: Bacteria
Description: partial 16S ribosomal RNA
Rfam family: Bacterial small subunit ribosomal RNA
Source: RNAcentral
GACGAACGCUGGCGGCGUGCUUAACACAUGCAAGUCGAACGGAAAGGCCCUGCUUUUGUGGGGUGCGCGAGUGGCGAACGGGUGAGUAACACGUGAGUAACCUGCCCUUGACUUUGAGAUAACUUCAGGAAACUGGGGCUAAUACCGGAUAGGAGCUCCUGCUGCAUGGUGGGGGUUGGAAAGUUUCGGCGGUUGGGGAUGGACUCGCGGCUUAUCAGCUUGUUGGUGGGGUAGUGUCUUACCAAGGCUUUGACGGGUAGCCGGCCUGAGAGGAUGACCGGCCCCAUUAGGACUGAGCUGCGGCCCAGCCUACUACGGGAGGCAGCGGUGGAGAAUAUUGCACAAUGGGCUGAAGGCUGACGCAGCAACGCCACGUGGGGGAUGACGGGAAUCGGGUUGUAAACCGCUUUCGCCUGUGACGAAGCGUGAGUGACGGUAAUGGGUAAAGAAGCACCGGCUAACUACGUG